GUGGGGAAUAUUGGGCAAUGGGGGAAACCCUGACCCAGCAACGCCGCGUGAAGGAAGAAGGUCUUCGGAUCGUAAACUUCUAUCCUUGGUGAAAAUAAUGAUGGUAGCCAAGAAGGAAGCCCCGGCUAACUACGUGCCAGCAGCCGCGGUAAUACGUAGGGGGCAAGCGUUGUCCGGAAUGAUUGGGCGUAAAGGGCGCGUAGGCGGCCUGGUAAGUCUGGAGUGAAAGUCCUGCUUUUAAGGUGGGAAUUGCUUUGGAUACUGUCGGGCUUGAGUGCAGGAGAGGUAAGUGGAAUUCCCGGUGUAGCGGUGAAAUGCGUAGAGAUCGGGAGGAACACCAGUGGCGAAGGCGACUUACUGGACUGUAACUGACGCUGAGGCGCGAAAGUGUGGGGAGCAAACAGGAUUAGAAACCCGUGUAGUCC
RNAcentral lists this ribosomal RNA (425 nucleotides) under uncultured bacterium. Its description in RNAcentral is "partial 16S ribosomal RNA". It matches the Rfam family "Bacterial small subunit ribosomal RNA", at positions 354 to 796 of the family's 1533-position model. The record is from RNAcentral.